RNAcentral lists this long non-coding RNA (414 nucleotides) under Elaeis guineensis (African oil palm). RNAcentral describes it as "long non-coding RNA (EGUI_LNC010660)". Lineage: Eukaryota; Viridiplantae; Streptophyta; Magnoliopsida; Arecales; Arecaceae. The record is from RNAcentral.
AUGACCAUAGAAGUCUUGUCCCCCCGUGCCACUUCAUGGAAUUGAUUAUUACUUGGACCAGGUCCGAUAGAGCACGCCAGAUCCCACUUCAUGAGAAGUUCCGCUUAUUCGUUUUCCAAAAAAACAAUAAAAAUUUUUCUCAAUACUUAGUAAUAAACAAAAUGAAGCAUAGGCAACAAGAUGACAAAGGAGAACCACAAAGAGAAGGGCAACGGGAAAAGAACUUGAGAGGAGAAGAGGAAGAUAGCUCAGGCCCAACAACGUAAACUCUCAAGUACAAGGCUGAACAAUAAAACGAUCUUUCUACCAAAAAAAAUAAAAAUAAAAAUAAAAUAAAAAUUCAAUCUAAUCAAAAUAUAUAUAGAACCCCAGGCCUAGUGAAAAUGCAAGAACCUUAGUCACGGCCAAUGCUGC